Molecule: ribosomal RNA, 253 nt
Filed under: uncultured bacterium
Lineage: Bacteria
Description: partial 16S ribosomal RNA
Rfam family: Bacterial small subunit ribosomal RNA
Source: RNAcentral
UACGAAGGGGGCUAGCGUUGCUCGGAAUUACUGGGCGUAAAGCGCACGUAGGCGGCUCUUUAAGUCGGGGGUGAAAUCCUGGAGCUCAACUCCAGAACUGCCUUCGAUACUGAAGAGCUCGAGUCCGGGAGAGGUGAGUGGAACUGCGAGUGUAAAGGUGAAAUUCGUAGAUAUUCGCAAGAACACCAGUGGCGAAGGCGGCUCACUGGCCCGGUACUGACGCUGAGGUGCGAAAGCGUGGGGAGCAAACAGG